UACGUAGGGGGCGAGCGUUGUCCGGAAUCAUUGGGCGUAAAGCGCGUGUAGGCGGCCCGGUAAGUCCGCUGUGAAAGUCCAGGGCUCAACCCUGGAAUGCCGGUGGAUACUGUCGGGCUAGAGUCCGGAAUGGGCGAGUGGAAUUCCUGGUGUAGCGGUGAAAUGCGCAGAUAUCAGGAGGAACACCAAUGGCGAAGGCAGCUCGCUGGGACGUGACUGACGCUGAGACGCGAAAGCGUGGGGAGCGAAUGGG
Molecule: ribosomal RNA, 253 nt
Filed under: uncultured bacterium
Lineage: Bacteria
Description: partial 16S ribosomal RNA
Rfam family: Bacterial small subunit ribosomal RNA
Source: RNAcentral